RNAcentral lists this ribosomal RNA (1372 nucleotides) under uncultured bacterium. RNAcentral describes it as "bacterial SSU rRNA". It matches the Rfam family "Bacterial small subunit ribosomal RNA", at positions 28 to 1381 of the family's 1533-position model. The record is from RNAcentral.
GAUGAACGCUGGCGGCGUGCCUAAUACAUGCAAGUCGAGCGAACGGACGAGAAGCUUGCUUCUCUGAUGUUAGCGGCGGACGGGUGAGUAACACGUGGAUAACCUACCUAUAAGACUGGGAUAACUUCGGGAAACCGGAGCUAAUACCGGAUAAUAUUUUGAACCGCAUGGUUCAAAAGUGAAAGACGGUCUUGCUGUCACUUAUAGAUGGAUCCGCGCUGCAUUAGCUAGUUGGUAAGGUAACGGCUUACCAAGGCAACGAUGCAUAGCCGACCUGAGAGGGUGAUCGGCCACACUGGAACUGAGACACGGUCCAGACUCCUACGGGAGGCAGCAGUAGGGAAUCUUCCGCAAUGGGCGAAAGCCUGACGGAGCAACGCCGCGUGAGUGAUGAAGGUCUUCGGAUCGUAAAACUCUGUUAUUAGGGAAGAACAUAUGUGUAAGUAACUGUGCACAUCUUGACGGUACCUAAUCAGAAAGCCACGGCUAACUACGUGCCAGCAGCCGCGGUAAUACGUAGGUGGCAAGCGUUAUCCGAAAUUAUUGGGCGUAAAGCGCGCGUAGGCGGUUUUUUAAGUCUGAUGUGAAAGCCCACGGCUCAACCGUGGAGGGUCAUUGGAAACUGGAAAACUUGAGUGCAGAAGAGGAAAGUGGAAUUCCAUGUGUAGCGGUGAAAUGCGCAGAGAUAUGGAGGAACACCAGUGGCGAAGGCGACUUUCUGGUCUGUAACUGACGCUGAUGUGCGAAAGCGUGGGGAUCAAACAGGAUUAGAUACCCUGGUAGUCCACGCCGUAAACGAUGAGUGCUAAGUGUUAGGGGGUUUCCGCCCCUUAGUGCUGCAGCUAACGCAUUAAGCACUCCGCCUGGGGAGUACGACCGCAAGGUUGAAACUCAAAGGAAUUGACGGGGACCCGCACAAGCGGUGGAGCAUGUGGUUUAAUUCGAAGCAACGCGAAGAACCUUACCAAAUCUUGACAUCCUUUGACAACUCUAGAGAUAGAGCCUUCCCCUUCGGGGGACAAAGUGACAGGUGGUGCAUGGUUGUCGUCAGCUCGUGUCGUGAGAUGUUGGGUUAAGUCCCGCAACGAGCGCAACCCUUAAGCUUAGUUGCCAUCAUUAAGUUGGGCACUCUAAGUUGACUGCCGGUGACAAACCGGAGGAAGGUGGGGAUGACGUCAAAUCAUCAUGCCCCUUAUGAUUUGGGCUACACACGUGCUACAAUGGACAAUACAAAGGGCAGCGAAACCGCGAGGUCAAGCAAAUCCCAUAAAGUUGUUCUCAGUUCGGAUUGUAGUCUGCAACUCGACUACAUGAAGCUGGAAUCGCUAGUAAUCGUAGAUCAGCAUGCUACGGUGAAUACGUUCCCGGGUCU